Molecule: ribosomal RNA, 454 nt
Filed under: uncultured bacterium
Lineage: Bacteria
Description: partial 16S ribosomal RNA
Rfam family: Bacterial small subunit ribosomal RNA
Source: RNAcentral
GAUGAACGCUGACAGAAUGCUUAACACAUGCAAGUCAACUUGAACUUCGGUUUGGGUGGCGGACGGGUGAGUCACGCGUAAAGAACUUGCCUCACAGCUAGGGACAACAUUUGGAAACGAAUGCUAAUACCUGAUAUUAUGAUUUUAGGGCAUCCUAGAAUUAUGAAAGCUAUAUGCGCUGUGAGAGAGCUUUGCGUCCCAUUAGCUAGUUGGAGAGGUAACGGCUCACCAAGGCGAUGAUGGGUAGCCGGCCUGAGAGGGUGAACGGCCACAAGGGGACGGAGACACGGCCCUUACUCCUACGGGAGGCAGCAGUGGGGAAUAUUGGACAAUGGACCAAGAGUCUGAUCCAGCAAUUCUGUGUGCACGAUGAAGUUUUUCGGAAUGUAAAGUGCUUUCAGUUGGGAAGAAAAAAAUGACGGUACCAACAGAAGAAGUGACGGCUAAAUACGUG